UAGGCUCAUGGGAAAACACUGCCCCCUACAGGAGAUGAACUGAGUGUCUAAAUGACAUAUACAGGAAAGAUGACAGUGUGAGGCAGCAGCAGCAGCGACAGACAUACCGCCCCAUGGCAGCUGAGAAUACAUACACCUAUGCCCUCCAUACUGUUUGAUACGUGAAACCAAUGUUAUACUUUUCGCUGGCUCAAAACAUGGUGUAAAUGACCUCGUUGGGGCUUGCGGACACCUGGAUGACACCACACGAGCAGUAUGGAGGCAUCUUAUGUGGUUUCUGUUUCAUUACGUCUGAAGAAUCAGUCACUCGUCACUUCAAUUGUGUUGGAUUCUGCUGCAACAAAGACAGAACCCCUCUGGAGGCCGCCGGUGAAACUGGAGAGCCAGAUCUUUGGCAGACGCUGCAGGGUCCUCAAAAGGCCA
Paralichthys olivaceus (Japanese flounder) is the source of this 423-nucleotide non-coding RNA. Lineage: Eukaryota; Metazoa; Chordata; Actinopteri; Pleuronectiformes; Paralichthyidae. The record is from RefSeq and is a predicted model, not a curated record.